AAGACCUUGCGCUUUUGGAGCGGCCGAUGCCUGAUUAGCUUGUUGGUGAGGUAAAAGCUCACCAAGGCUUCGAUCAGUAGCUGGUCUGAGAGGACGACCAGCCACACUGGGACUGAGACACGGCCCAGACUCCUACGGGAGGCAGCAGUGGGGAAUUUUGGACAAUGGGGGCAACCCUGAUCCAGCCAUGCCGCGUGAGUGAAGAAGGCCUUCGGGUUGUAAAGCUCUUUCAGCCGGAACGAAACGGUCACGGCUAAUACCUGUGACUACUGACGGUACCGGAAGAAGAAGCACCGGCUAACUACGUGCCAGCAGCCGCGGUAAUACGUAGGGUGCGAGCGUUAAUCGGAAUUACUGGGCGUAAAGCGUGCGCAGGUGGUUUUGUAAGCCAGAUGUGAAAUCCCCGGGCUUAACCUGGGAACU
RNAcentral lists this ribosomal RNA (423 nucleotides) under uncultured bacterium. RNAcentral describes it as "bacterial SSU rRNA". It matches the Rfam family "Bacterial small subunit ribosomal RNA", at positions 207 to 622 of the family's 1533-position model. The record is from RNAcentral.